Molecule: long non-coding RNA, 864 nt
Filed under: Homo sapiens (human)
Lineage: Eukaryota; Metazoa; Chordata; Mammalia; Primates; Hominidae
Description: HSALNT0335535
Source: RNAcentral
AAAGUCUCUUCAUGAAACCAUCAGAGGUGGUUGCUGUUUCCUGCAGGAAUCCUAACAGACACAGUAGAUAACUUGACAGAACAAAUAUGCAGAUGAGUCAUCCAACUUGCAAAGAGGCCAUGGGAGGCACGAUGAGGUCAAGAAAAGAGCAAACUGACUUAGUGAGAGAGACCAAAGUUCCACUGCCAUCUUCCAGCUGUAUGACUUGCAUAUGCCAUUUAAAUGAAGUCUGGGUUUUUUUUAAUCUGAAAAAUUUGCCUUAUCUACCUCAAAAAAAGGGGAUGAAAAUGCAUCUUAAGCAUGAAGUGUUAUGCAAAUCUUGGUUGUGGUUAUUACUAUAAUUUCAUGUAUUGAUUUUAAACAAAAUGUACUUUGAGUUGGAAGGUAAAAAAUAUGAAAGACUCUAAGAAUGGGUAGGCGGGGAACCAAAUGAUCUGUGGCCACACUGAAGGUAGAAAAAAAGGAAGUGAAUUUGAACUAAAGAAGCAGAAGUUGAGAAAGUACCAAAGUCUUUGACUUUCAGAGUGACCGAACACCAGCAUAGUUCACCAGAGAAGAUCAGGAAUGCUGUCUCUUCUGAAAGGGUACCAAAAAGAGAGUAAACAGAUCAUUCUAUAUUGAUCAAGGAGUGGCAAACUGACAUCUGCAGAACAAAUCUGAUCCCCAGAUGAGCUCUAUUUGUUCAACAAAGAUGUUGUCGUUGUUACUUUUUUUAUUGAAUUUGAGUGCUUUGGCGCACCUAGUCUUUCUGCCACUGUAGGUCCCACGACUUUCUGUUGCCUUAUACUCAGCCCUUUAAUUAUUCAAGAUACCUGCAGAGCCCUAGAGGCCUUUGAGGUUAUCACUUCUACUGAAGGCCAGUGC